RNAcentral lists this ribosomal RNA (496 nucleotides) under uncultured bacterium. RNAcentral's name for it is "partial 16S ribosomal RNA". It matches the Rfam family "Bacterial small subunit ribosomal RNA", at positions 28 to 506 of the family's 1533-position model. The record is from RNAcentral.
GAUGAACGCUGGCGGCGUGCCUAAUACAUGCAAGUCGAGCGAACAGAUGAGGAGCUUGCUCCUCUGACGUUAGCGGCGGACGGGUGAGUAACACGUGGAUAACCUACCUAUAAGACUGGGAUAACUUCGGGAAACCGGAGCUAAUACCGGAUAAUAUAUUGAACCGCAUGGUUCAAUAGUGAAAGACGGUUUUGCUGUCACUUAUAGAUGGAUCCGCGCCGCAUUAGCUAGUUGGUAAGGUAACGGCUUACCAAGGCAACGAUGCGUAGCCGACCUGAGAGGGUGAUCGGCCACACUGGAACUGAGACACGGUCCAGACUCCUACGGGAGGCAGCAGUAGGGAAUCUUCCGCAAUGGGCGAAAGCCUGACGGAGCAACGCCGCAUGAGUGAUGAAGGUCUUCGGAUCGUAAAACUCUGUUAUUAGGGAAGAACAAAUGUGUAAGUAACUAUGCACGUCUUGACGGUACCUAAUCAGAAAGCCACGGCUAACUACGU